RNAcentral lists this ribosomal RNA (786 nucleotides) under uncultured bacterium. RNAcentral's name for it is "bacterial SSU rRNA". It matches the Rfam family "Bacterial small subunit ribosomal RNA", at positions 8 to 796 of the family's 1533-position model. The record is from RNAcentral.
AGAGUUUGAUCAUGGCUCAGAACGAACGCUGGCGGCGUGCUUAACACAUGCAAGUCGAGUGCGCGCCUGUAGCAAUACAGGUGGCGCACGGCGCACGGGUGCGUAACACGUGGGCAAUCUGCCCUCUGAUGGGGAAUAACCCGCCGAAAGGCGGGCUAAUACCGCAUAAAAUUCCUUGGACUUAUGUUCGGGGAUUCAAAGGCGUAAGUCGUCGGAGGAGGAGCCCGCGCACGAUUAGCUAGUUGGUAGGGUAAUGGCCUACCAAGGCUUUGAUCGUUAGCUGGUCUGAGAGGAUGGCCAGCCACACUGGAACUGAGACACGGUCCAGACUCCUACGGGAGGCAGCAGUGGGGAAUCUUGCACAAUGGGCGAAAGCCUGAUGCAGCGACGCCGCGUGGGGGAUGAAGCAUUUCGGUGUGUAAACCCCUUUCGAUCCGGACGAAUACCUCGCAAGAGGGGUGACGGUACGGAUAUAAGAAGCCCCGGCUAACUACGUGCCAGCAGCCGCGGUAAGACGUAGGGGGCCAGCGUUGUUCGGAAUUACUGGGUGUAAAGGGUUCGUAGGCGGUGUGGCAAGUUGGGAGUGAAAUCUCUGGGCUCAACCCAGAGACUGCUUCCAAAACUGCUGUGCUUGAGUGUGAGAGAGGCUCGUGGAAUUGCAGGUGUAGCGGUGAAAUGCGUAGAUAUCUGCAGGAACACCCGUGGCGAAAGCGGCGAGCUGGAUCACUACUGACGCUGAGGAACGAAAGCUAGGGGAGCAAACAGGAUUAGAUACCCUAGUAGUCC